AGCGAACGCUGGCGGCAGGCCUAACACAUGCAAGUCGAACGAACUCUUCGGAGUUAGUGGCGGACGGGUGAGUAACCCGUGGGAACGUGCCUUUAGGUUCGGAAUAACUCAGGGAAACUUGUGCUAAUACCGACUGUGCCCUUCGGGGGAAAGAUUUAUCGCCUUUAGAGCGGCCCGCGUCGGAUUAGCUAGUUGGUGAGGUAAAGGCUCACCAAGGCGACGAUCAGUAGCUGGUCUGAGAGGAUGAUCAGCCACAUUGGGACUGAGACACGGCCCAAACUCCUACGGGAGGCAGCAGUGGGGAAUCUUGCGCAAUGGGCGAAAGCCUGACGCAGCCAUGCCGCGUGAAUGAUGAAGGUCUUAGGAUUGUAAAAUUCUUUCACCGGGGACGAUAAUGACGGUACCCGGAGAAGAAGCCCCGGCUAACUUCGUG
RNAcentral lists this ribosomal RNA (433 nucleotides) under uncultured bacterium. Its description in RNAcentral is "partial 16S ribosomal RNA". It matches the Rfam family "Bacterial small subunit ribosomal RNA", at positions 29 to 507 of the family's 1533-position model. The record is from RNAcentral.